GAUGAACGCUGGCGGCGUGCUUAACACAUGCAAGUCGAACGGAAAGGCCAGUGCUUGCCCUGGUGCUCGAGUGGCGAACGGGUGAGUAACACGUGGGUGAUCUGCCCUGCACUUUGGGAUAAGCCUGGGAAACUGGGUCUAAUACCAGAUAGGACCAUGCUUUGGAUGGUGUGGUGGAAAGUUUUUUCGGUGUGGGAUGAGCUUGCGGCCUAUCAGCUUGUUGGUGGGGUAAUGGCCUACCAAGGCGUCGACGGGUAGCCGGCCUGAGAGGGUGUACGGCUACAUUGGGACUGAGAUACGGCCCAGACUCCUACGGGAGGCAGCAGUGGGGAAUAUUGCACAAUGGGCGCAAGCCUGAUGCAGCGACGCCGCGUGGGGGAUGACGGCCUUCGGGUUGUAAACUCCUUUCGCAACUGACGAAGCUUUUUGUGACGGUAGGUUGAGAAGAAGCACCGGCUAACUACGUG
This 467-nucleotide ribosomal RNA is filed under the name uncultured bacterium. Its description in RNAcentral is "partial 16S ribosomal RNA". It matches the Rfam family "Bacterial small subunit ribosomal RNA", at positions 28 to 507 of the family's 1533-position model. The record is from RNAcentral.